RNAcentral lists this long non-coding RNA (462 nucleotides) under Equus asinus (donkey). RNAcentral's name for it is "lncRNA (ENSEASG00005037279.1)". The record is from RNAcentral. Lineage: Eukaryota; Metazoa; Chordata; Mammalia; Perissodactyla; Equidae.
GGAGAACCUCCUACGACGUGAUAGCCACCUGGAAAAAACGCCCAGAACCAAGGAACCGAUGCGGGUCUGUUUUCUGUUGGUGAUGAGCCCUUGGUAGAUCUGAAACUUAGCGGGAUUGUCUCCAAGUCAGAGACUGCAGUACAGCAAAUCACGUGUCCAAAGUCACCCAAGAUCUCGAUGACCGAGCGGAAAAUACCGUGUACUUUCAUAACUACUUCUAGCCUGACGGAGGGAAAAAUUCAAGUCAUCUAAAAAUAGAAAACCAUGGUAGUUUUAAAAAUUAGAAAUCUUUAGUGCUGCCUGCCUUUGUUCUCUUUUUCAGUACACCACUGGGCCAGCCCCUAAAAGUCACAUUUUAAGAACCAGUUGUGGGGGCCAGCCAGGUAGUGUAGUGGUUAAGUUCGUGCACUCCACUUUGGCCACCUGGGGUUUGCAGGUUUGGAUCCAGGGCACAGACUUACA